UACGUAGGUGGCAAGCGUUAUCCGGAAUUAUUGGGCGUAAAGCGCGCGCAGGUGGUUUCUUAAGUCUGAUGUGAAAGCCCACGGCUCAACCGUGGAGGGUCAUUGGAAGCUGGGAGACUUGAGUGCAGAAGAGGAAAGUGGAAUUCCAUGUGUAGCGGUGAAAUGCGUAGAGAUAUGGAGGAACACCAGUGGCGAAGGCGACUUUCUGGUCUGUAACUGACACUGAGGCGCGAAAGCGUGGGGAGCAAACAGG
Molecule: ribosomal RNA, 253 nt
Filed under: uncultured bacterium
Lineage: Bacteria
Description: partial 16S ribosomal RNA
Rfam family: Bacterial small subunit ribosomal RNA
Source: RNAcentral